GUAGGACCUGUGGGGGUAAGGUAGUGCCUGUGGGGUUAGGGCCAGUAAGGUAGGGCAUGUGAGGGUGAGGUAGGGCCUGUGGGGUUAGGCCCAGUGAGGUAGGGCCUGUGGGGGUGAGGUAGGGCCUGUGGGGUUAGGCCCAGUGAGGUAGGGCCUGUGGGGGUGAGGUAGGGCCUGUGGGGUUAGGGCCAGUGAGGUAGGGCCUGUGGGGGUAAGGUAGGGCCUGUGGGGUUAGGGCCAGUGAGGUAGGGCAUGUGAGGGUGAGAUAGGGCCUGUGGGGUUAGGCCCAGUGAGGUAGGUACUGUGGGGUUAGGCCCAGUGAGGUAGGGCUUGUGGGGGUGAGGUAGGGCCUGUGGGGUUAGGCCCAGUGAGGUAGGGCCUGUGGGAGUGAGGUAGGGCCUGUGGGGUUUGGCCCAGUGAGGUAGGGCCUGUGGGGGUGAGGUAGGGCCUGUGGGGUUAGGGCCAGUGAGGUAGGGCCUGUGGGGGUAAGGUAGGGCCUGUGGGGUUAGGGCCAGUGAGGUAGGGCAUGUGAGGGUGAGGUAGGGCCUGUGGGGUUAGGCCCAGUGAGGUAGGGCUUGUGGGGGUGAGAUAGGGCCUGUGGGGUUAGGCCCAGUGAGGUAGGUACUGUGGGGUUAGGCCCAGUGAGGUAGGGCUUGUGGGGGUGAGAUAGGGCCUGUGGGGUUAGGCCCAGUGAGGUAGGUACUUUGGGGUUAGGCCCAGUAAGGUAUGGCCUGUGGGGGUGAGGUAGGGCCAGUGGGGUAAGUGCCAGAUGGGUAAGGGCCAGUAGGGUUAUGGGCCAGUGGAGUUAGGACCAGUGGGAUUAUGGGCCAGUGGGGUUAUGGGCCAGUGGUGUUAUGACAAGUGGGAUUAUGGGCCAGUGGUGUUAUGACAAGUGGGAUUAUGGGCCAGUGGGAUUAUGGGCCAGUGGGGUUAUGGGCCAGUAGGGUUAUGGGCCAGUGGGGUUAUGGGCCAGUGGGGUUAGGACCAGUAGGGUUGUGGAGUACUGCUCCUUGAAGGCUCGGUGACCACGCCCUGGUCUGUGUGAAUGUUUUCUACCUUUUUAAGAGGAUAUUGAUGAGGGCUAUAGGCUACUGUGCUCUCUGUUAAAUCAUUCUGACCCUAGCUUUGUAUCUCAGGGGUAGGAUCAUGUUACAGGGAUAGUUAUCUAAUAGUUGGUUGCACCAGAUGUUUUAUGUAAUACCCUCUCUACCCAUGAGAGAGAAAUGAACAUCCCUCCCCAAAAAAGAAAGUACAAAACAGGCUGUGUUUUUAGUUAGUUGGUUUGUUGUGAUUGGCUGUGGC
RNAcentral lists this long non-coding RNA (1302 nucleotides) under Salmo salar (Atlantic salmon). Its description in RNAcentral is "lncRNA (ENSSSAG00000117506.1)". The record is from RNAcentral. Lineage: Eukaryota; Metazoa; Chordata; Actinopteri; Salmoniformes; Salmonidae.